CACCUGUUGUUUCCUGACUUUUUAAUGAUCGCCAUUCUAACUGGUGUGAGAUGAUAUCUCAUUGUGGUUUUGAUUUGCAUUUCUCUGAUGGCCAGUGAUGAUGAGCAUUUUUUCAUGUGUCUGUUGGCUGCAUAAAUGAAUAGACUAAGAUUUCAGUGAUUGAGUCUCAUGGCAUGUGAUAAAGAGUUAGUGAUAAAGAUUUAAAUGGCACAUAACAUCAUCCCAAUUGAAUGCAUCGGGGGGUCAUGAUGCUGUGUGGGUUUGAAAUGGAAAUUACAAGCACAAUAUUACAGAAGUGUGGAUUUUAGUUACAAUGUCUCUAUGAGAAAGUCUAAAAGUUAAACAUAAGCAAAACAACAAAAACAUCUAAAUACCAGACACUAUCCUCAGAAAUUAGAUUUGAAAAAUGAGCUUCAUUUUCGAAGAACAUAUU
This 433-nucleotide long non-coding RNA is filed under the name Homo sapiens (human). Its description in RNAcentral is "non-protein coding lnc-SMIM30-2:1". Lineage: Eukaryota; Metazoa; Chordata; Mammalia; Primates; Hominidae. The record is from RNAcentral.